Molecule: long non-coding RNA, 726 nt
Organism: Psammomys obesus (fat sand rat)
Lineage: Eukaryota; Metazoa; Chordata; Mammalia; Rodentia; Muridae
Exons: 2
Source: RefSeq, a predicted model, not a curated record
GGUUAUAAUUCUAUUGUUUGAGAAUUAGUCUUGCUGUCCUUGAACGGUUCUAGUAAUUCUACUCUAGGCUGAGUUCUGUUGUACAUCUGGUCAAAUUUCUAAUGUCUUUGCAGAUCAGUAAGACCCUGCUACUUCAGGAUAUGGAUAAAGUUUCUGCUACGGACAGAUGCCUAACUUGACUGUCAUCUGGGAGGCUCCAGCCAGCAGCUGUUGGAGACAGAUGCUGGGACUUACAUCCAAGCAUGGGGCAGAACUCUGGGAAUCCUGUGGAAGUGUUGGGGGAAAGAUGGAAGGACCUGGAGGGGACAUCAACCCCACAAGAGGGAAAACAGAGACAACUAAACCAGUUCCAUGGGGGCUUAUAGAGACUGAGACAUCAAGUAAAAGCAUGAAUGAUCUGGACCUAGGCUCCCUUCACUCAUGUAGCCAAUGGACAGUUUGGUCUUCAUAUGGGGUGCCUGACGGGUGGGGGGGUGUUUCUAACAUGGACUCUAUUGUCUGCUUUUGGAUAGCUUCCCUCUGGCAGGGCUAUCUUACUUGGUCUCAGGGUACACGUUCAAUGAUGAUGUGACUUGUUGUGCAGGGGAAAGUUGAUGGUGGGAGGGCUCUCCUUUUCUGGGGGAAAAGGGAGAGAAAGACAGGGGAGACUUGAAGGAUGGAGGUGGGGCAUCCUUGGGAUGUAAGGUACAUAAACUAAAAACAAAUAAUAAAGCUGCUAUUAACAUA